This 1212-nucleotide long non-coding RNA is filed under the name Phascolarctos cinereus (koala). Its description in RNAcentral is "lncRNA (ENSPCIG00000025976.2)". Lineage: Eukaryota; Metazoa; Chordata; Mammalia; Diprotodontia; Phascolarctidae. The record is from RNAcentral.
AUGGGGAGCCUGGGGAGAAGCCUUCUGGUGCUAUGUGUGGCCAUCACCAUUGCAACACUUUCUGCUCAGCAAAAGGAGAGACUGAGUGACCAAGAAGCUAUAUCCCUGUUACUAGCUACCUACAACAGAGAGUCCAACGAUAAUUUCAUCUAUGGGCUCCUUCAAACCAAAUCUGUCUCUGACCAGGCUGAGAAACGGAUCCUGAGUUUUACCAUCCAGGAAACUAAGUGCCUUAAAUCAGAGAAUCAGAACCCUGACCAGUGUGAAUUCAAAGAAGGUGGGCUGGUGAGAGACUGCUCAGGAGAGAUUUUAUCUGAGCAACGUCCCCCCCCGUGGUUCUUGUCUCUUGUGACUCUGCGACUGCACAGGAGGCUCAAGCCCAGGAAGUGUCAGAUGCUGAUCCAUUACCAGCCUCUGCUGGUGGAGGCCGAGGAGGCCGUGGAGGCCGUGGAGGCCGUGGAGGCCGUGGCGGCCGUGGUGGCCGUGGCGGCCGUGGAGGCCGUGGAGGCCGUGGAGGCCGUGGAGGCCGUGGAGGCCGGGGAGGCCGGGGAGGCCGUGGCGGCCGAGGCGGCCGUGGAGGUCGAGGAGGCCGUGGCCGCAGAGGAAGACGUGAUGUAGAGAGUGAAGUACCAGAUAUCUUUCUAGACAGACAAAGGGGGCCUCCUUUUGGAGAUCCUUUUAAUCCGUUCCCCAGGCCGGGGCCUAGACCCUUCCCCAGGCCUCGGCCUCAACCUGGGCCCUUCCCCAGGCCUCGGCCUCGACCUGGGCCCUUCCCCAGGCCUCAGCCUCGACCUGGGCCCUUCCCCAGGCCUCAGCCUCAACCUUUUCCCAACCCUCCGUUUGACCCCGAUCAGCCUGACCCCAAUCAGCCUGACCUUGAUUACCUUUAAUUUAGCUUGACCCCAGCCUGGGCCUGCUUUUAGCCUAAGCUCAUCCUUGGCUAAGCUCUCACUUUAGAUUCCUUUGUCAUGUCCAGAAAUCCUUCCUUAGCCCAGGCCACUAAACCCAAUUCUUCAAUGAGUUCCAAGAUUUGAACCCACAGAUCCAGUAGGAGCAGAAAAGGUACAAAUAGGGAUCAAAUGCAAGAAGACAUCCAAGAACCCAAAGAAGAGGCUGGACUGUGGACUGGUAGAGGGCAGGGACUGUCCAACCAUCAUUGCAGCAUUCCAAGCAGACAGAAAUCAAAUAAAGCCUUUGUGAUAGCAAUAAUCA